CCUUACGGCUCAGUAACACGUGGAUAACCUGCCCUUGGGUCCGGCAUAACCCCGGGAAACUGGGGAUAAUUCCGGAUAACGCACAUAUGCUGGAAUGCUUUAUGCGUAAAAUGGAUUCGUCCGCCCAAGGAUGGGUCUGCGGCCUAUCAGGUAGUAGUGGGUGUAAUGCACCUACUAGCCAACAACGGGUACGGGUUGUGAGAGCAAGAGCCCGGAGAUGGAUUCUGAGACAUGAAUCCAGGCCCUACGGGGCGCAGCAGGCGCGAAAACUUUACAAUGCGGGAAACCGUGAUAAGGGGACACCGAGUGCUAGCAUCAUAUGCUGGCUGUCCAGGUGUGUAAAAUACACCUGUUAGCAAGGGCCGGGCAAGACCGGUGCCAGCCGCCGCGGUAACACCGGCGGCCCGAGUGGUGAUCGUGAUUAUUGGGUCUAAAGGGUCCGUAGCCGGUUUGGUCAGUCCUCCGGGAAAUCUGACAGCUCAACUGUUAGGCUUUCGGGGGAUACUGCCAGACUUGGAACUGGGAGAGGUAAGAGGUACUACAGGGGUAGGAGUGAAAUCUUGUAAUCCCUGUGGGACCACCUGUGGCGAAGGCGUCUUACCAGAACGGGUUCGACGGUGAGGGACGAAAGCUGGGGGCACGAACCGGAUUAGAUACCCGGGUAGUCCCAGCCGUAAACGAUGCUCGCUAGGUGUCAGGCAUGGCGCGACCGUGUCUGGUGCCGCAGGGAAGCCGUGAAGCGAGCCACCUGGGAAGUACGGCCGCAAGGCUGAAACUUAAAGGAAUUGGCGGGGGAGCAC
Molecule: ribosomal RNA, 800 nt
Filed under: uncultured archaeon
Lineage: Archaea
Description: bacterial SSU rRNA
Rfam family: Archaeal small subunit ribosomal RNA
Source: RNAcentral